AUUGAACGCUGGCGGAAUGCUUUACACAUGCAAGUCGAACGGCAGCACGGACUUCGGUCUGGUGGCGAGUGGCGAACGGGUGAGUAAUGUAUCGGAACGUGCCCAGUCGUGGGGGAUAACGUAGUGAAAAUUACGCUAAUACCGCAUACGAUCUAUGGAUGAAAGCGGGGGAUCGCAAGACCUCGCGCGAUUGGAGCGGCCGAUAUCAGAUUAGGUAGUUGGUGGGGUAAAGGCCCACCAAGCCAACGAUCUGUAGCUGGUCUGAGAGGACGGCCCGCCGCACUGGAACUGGGACACGGUCCAGGCUCCUACGGGAGGCAGCAGUGGGGAAUUUUGGACAAUGGGCGAAAGCCUGAUCCAGCCAUUCCGCGUGCAGGAUGAAGGCCCUCGGGUUGUAAACUGCUUUUGUACAGAACGAAAAGGUUUCUACUAAUACUAGGAGCUCAUGACGGUACUGUAAGAAUAAGCACCGGCUAACUACGUGCCAGCCGCCGCGGUAA
RNAcentral lists this ribosomal RNA (500 nucleotides) under uncultured bacterium. RNAcentral describes it as "partial 16S ribosomal RNA". It matches the Rfam family "Bacterial small subunit ribosomal RNA", at positions 30 to 523 of the family's 1533-position model. The record is from RNAcentral.